Molecule: ribosomal RNA, 380 nt
Filed under: uncultured marine eukaryote
Lineage: Eukaryota
Description: SSU rRNA
Rfam family: Eukaryotic small subunit ribosomal RNA
Source: RNAcentral
CGGUUAAAAAGCUCGUAGUUGGAUUUCUGUUGAGGAUGACCGGUCCGCUCUUUGAGCGCGUAUCUGGUUCAGCCUUGGCAUCCUCUUGGGGAACGCUACUGUGCUUGAUUGCAUGGGGCGGUAUUCAAGACUUUUACUUUGAGGAAAUUAGAGUGUUCACUGCAAGCGUUAGCAAUUGAAUACAUUAGCAUGGAAUAAUAAUAUAGGACCUUGGUACUAUUUUGUUGGUUUCUAGAACUAAGGUAAUGAUUAAUAGGGACAAUUGGGGGCAUUCGUAUUAACGCGUCAGAGGUGGAAUUCUUAGAUUGCGUUACGACGAACUACUGCGAAAGCAUUUGCCAAGGAUGUUUUCAUUGAUCAAGAACGAAAGUAUGGGGAUC